Oryza meridionalis is the source of this 176-nucleotide non-coding RNA. NCBI's taxonomy places the organism in Eukaryota, Viridiplantae, Streptophyta, Magnoliopsida, Poales, Poaceae. The record is from Rfam.
AACCACACUAUCAGUGAAUGGAUUCGCCCAUUAUAUGAUGUGGUUGUUCCACUUAGGACGAGGACGUGGCAUUCUAAUAUCAACCAUCUCAUGAAAUUAAUAGUAUGCCAUGUUCUCAUCCUAGGUGAAAUAGCCACGUCAUCUCACGGGUGAAUCUAUUCAUUGAUAGUGUGGUU